RNAcentral lists this transfer RNA (58 nucleotides) under Salmo trutta (river trout). It matches the Rfam family "tRNA", at positions 8 to 63 of the family's 71-position model. Rfam says of the family: Transfer RNA (tRNA) molecules are approximately 80 nucleotides in length. Their secondary structure includes four short double-helical elements and three loops (D, anti-codon, and T loops). The record is from Rfam by way of RNAcentral. Lineage: Eukaryota; Metazoa; Chordata; Actinopteri; Salmoniformes; Salmonidae.
UGGCUCAGUUGGUAGAGCAUGGUGUUUGCAACGCCAGGGUUGUGGGUAUGAUUCCCAC